This 274-nucleotide ribosomal RNA is filed under the name uncultured bacterium. Its description in RNAcentral is "partial 16S ribosomal RNA". It matches the Rfam family "Bacterial small subunit ribosomal RNA", at positions 523 to 796 of the family's 1533-position model. The record is from RNAcentral.
AUACAGAGGGUGCGAGCGUUAAUCGGAAUUACUGGGCGUAAAGCGUGCGCAGGUGGUUUUGUAAGUCAGAUGUGAAAUCCCCGGGCUUAACCUGGGAACUGCGUUUGAAACUGCAAGGCUAGAGUGUGGCAGAGGGGGGUGGAAUUCCGCGUGUAGCAGUGAAAUGCGUAGAGAUGCGGAGGAACACCGAUGGCGAAGGCAGCCCCCUGGGUCAGCACUGACGCUCAGGCACGAAAGCAUGGGGAGCAAACAGGAUUAGAAACCCCAGUAGUCC